Molecule: ribosomal RNA, 619 nt
Filed under: Salmonella enterica subsp. enterica serovar Enteritidis
Lineage: Bacteria; Pseudomonadati; Pseudomonadota; Gammaproteobacteria; Enterobacterales; Enterobacteriaceae
Description: partial 23S ribosomal RNA
Rfam family: Bacterial large subunit ribosomal RNA
Source: RNAcentral
CUUUGGGUGUGACUGCGUACCUUUUGUAUAAUGGGUCAGCGACUUAUAUUCUGUAGCAAGGUUAACCGAAUAGGGGAGCCGGAGGGAAACCGAGUCUUAACCGGGCGUUAAGUUGCAGGGUAUAGACCCGAAACCCGGUGAUCUAGCCAUGGGCAGGUUGAAGGUUGGGUAACACUAACUGGAGGACCGAACCGACUAAUGUUGAAAAAUUAGCGGAUGACCUGUGGCUGGGGGUGAAAGGCCAAUCAAACCGGGAGAUAGCUGGUUCUCCCCGAAAGCUAUUUAGGUAGCGCCUCGUGAAUUCAUCUCCGGGGGUAGAGCACUGUUUCGGCUAGGGGGCCAUCCCGGCUUACCAACCCGAUGCAAACUGCGAAUACCGGAGAAUGUUAUCACGGGAGACACACGGCGGGUGCUAACGUCCGUCGUGAAGAGGGAAACAACCCAGACCGCCAGCUAAGGUCCCAAAGUCAUGGUUAAGUGGGAAACGAUGUGGGAAGGCCCAGACAGCCAGGAUGUUGGCUUAGAAGCAGCCAUCAUUUAAAGAAAGCGUAAUAGCUCACUGGUCGAGUCGGCCUGCGCGGAAGAUGUAACGGGGCUAAACCAUGCACCGAAGCUGCGG